RNAcentral lists this long non-coding RNA (996 nucleotides) under Musa acuminata (dwarf banana). Its description in RNAcentral is "long non-coding RNA (MACU_LNC009857)". The record is from RNAcentral. Lineage: Eukaryota; Viridiplantae; Streptophyta; Magnoliopsida; Zingiberales; Musaceae.
AGACCGAGUGAAAGUUCUUAAGUAAGCUGCUCUGCUGCUCUUAUUGUAAGUUUCCGCCUUGAAUUCCAAUUCUGAUCUUUAAGAAGGAAGCCUAGAAGAAGGGAGUCCGUAGUCAAAGAGUUGAACUAACAACCUGGACUCUAAUCUACCUCUGGCUCUUCUCCUUAAAGGCAAGGGGCAUCCCUUUCCACCUUACCAACUAAGUCAACAGACCUUGUGCUAACAGGGGUUGGGGCAAGAACAAGUGGAGAGGAUAGAGGUUCAGGUGCCCUUAUAUCUUAGGAGAAUUUUACUGCCUCUGCUUUAGUUGUAGCUUGGCCUCUCUUUGAAGGGAACUUUCAUAACUCCGCAUGCAAAGCUAUAAGGAUCAAAUUCAUUCUAAGGCGAGUUUCAAUUAGUAAUUAGCCAUAUAAGAGGAGAAAAGAGCUGCCCUACCGCUUGCCUCCACCUUUGAUUCUUAAGCUAAAGUAUAAGGUGCUUGUGUUGUCUACGAGAAUGAAUGGACUAAUUGCACUUAGCUCGUGUUGGCUUAGAGAUCAAAAGCUUGAUAAGAAGUUUCAUCAGAUUCAUAAGAUAGAGAAGCAGCAUCUUUACUAGGCUCGGAUUCUAUGCCACGUGCUCAACUCCACAAUUGAAUUCAGAACUUCAAGAAAGAUCAGAUGCAGUUGAAAGAGAGGAAUCCGUUCGAUAAUCAUAAGUGCGCUAACGGUAAGGAAGUGGAAAAUCAUAUCUUACUAGGCGAGAAAUCAAGUCAUAUUGAAAUGAGUGAGUUGCGCGGUAUCGUGGAUAAUUGCCUGUUCUUGUUGCAGUAAUUAAAGGCACAGGACUUAGGGAAGAAAAAGCAGAAUGAGCUCGGUAUUAUAGAAAGAAGUAACCAAAAAGCUUGUAUCUAAGGGCCAGCAUACAAGUAUAAACAACUACGAGGGGUGAGUGAAAAAAGCAUGAAGUUUCAGGUCGAGGAAGAAUCAAUUCCAUGCUUUGAUGCGGGUGGAGGAG